Molecule: unclassified non-coding RNA, 432 nt
Filed under: soil metagenome
Description: partial contains 5.8S ribosomal RNA, internal transcribed spacer 2, and large subunit ribosomal RNA
Rfam family: 5.8S ribosomal RNA (bases 1-120)
Source: RNAcentral
GAUGAAGAACGCAGCGAAAUGCGAUACGUAAUGUGAAUUGCAGAAUUCAGUGAAUCAUCGAAUCUUUGAACGCAUAUUGCGCUCUCUGGUAUUCCGGAGAGCAUGCUUGUUUGAGUAUCAGUAAACACCUCAACUUCCAUAUGUUUUUUGAAAUGGGAGUUGGACUUGAGUGAUCCCAACGCUUUUCCUCACCGAAAAGUGGCGGGUUACUUGAAAUGCAGGUGCAGCUGGACUUUUCUCUGAGCUAUAAGCAUAUCUAUUUAGUCUGCCUAAAAAACAGAUUAUUACCUUUGCUGCAGCUAACAUAAAGGAGAUUAGUUCUUGUGCUGACUGAUGCAGGAUUCACAAAGACGGCUUCGGCCGACUUUGUAAACUCGAUCUCAAAUCAAGUAAGACUACCCGCUGAACUUAAGCAUAUCAAUAAGCGGAGGA